CUACGGGAGGCUCCAGUGGGGAAUAUUGGACAAUGGGGGAAACCCUGAUCCAGCAAUGCCGCGUGUGUGAAGAAGGCCUGCGGGUUGUAAAGCACUUUCGGUUGGGAGGACUGCUUCUAGCACUAAUAUUGUUGGAAGUUGACGUUACCUUCAGAAGAAGCACCGGCUAACUCCGUGCCAGCGGCCGCGGUAAUACGGAUGGUGCAAGCGUUAAUCGGAAUUACUGGGCGUAAAGCGCGCGUAGGCGGCUAGAUCAGUCGGGUGUGAAAGCCCCGGGCUUAACCUGGGAACUGCAUCCGAUACUGUCUAGCUUGAGUACAGGAGAGGAGAGUGGAAUUCCACAUGUAGCGGUGAAAUGCGUAGAUAUGUGGAGGAACACCAAUGGCGAAGGCAGCUCUCUGGCCUGAUACUGACGCUGAGGUGCGAAAGCGUGGGGAGCAAACAGGAUUAGAUACCCGUGUAGUC
RNAcentral lists this ribosomal RNA (465 nucleotides) under uncultured bacterium. RNAcentral describes it as "partial 16S ribosomal RNA". It matches the Rfam family "Bacterial small subunit ribosomal RNA", at positions 339 to 795 of the family's 1533-position model. The record is from RNAcentral.